GUAAAGGGUAAAACUUUAAAACAUUCACAUGGUUAUGGGUUCUUGAUUUUCUGUUCUUCUUGUUGUUUGAUUUUGGGAAUUUAUGGACUCUUAGUAGACUAGAUUUUCCCGUCAGAGGUUUCUGAUUUCAUAACUGACGUUCGAAUCUCUGUUGGUCUUUUUCGUGUUCUGGGUUUUGGGUGAUGGUGGUGGCUACAAGGAUAAAAACAGACUUCUGUUUGGAAUUAGAAACUCAGAAUCUAUGUAUUCUAUGAUUCUCUCUUGUGGGUGUGUGUGAAUUUCUUAUCUUCAAUUUUUGGGUUGUUUCC
This 308-nucleotide unclassified non-coding RNA is filed under the name Hevea brasiliensis (rubber tree). The record is from RNAcentral. Lineage: Eukaryota; Viridiplantae; Streptophyta; Magnoliopsida; Malpighiales; Euphorbiaceae.